RNAcentral lists this ribosomal RNA (1457 nucleotides) under uncultured bacterium. RNAcentral's name for it is "bacterial SSU rRNA". It matches the Rfam family "Bacterial small subunit ribosomal RNA". The record is from RNAcentral.
UAGAGUUUGAUCCUGGCUCAGGAUGAACGCUAGCUACAGGCUUAACACAUGCAAGUCGAGGGGCAGCAUUUUAGUUUGCUUGCAAACUAAAGAUGGCGACCGGCGCACGGGUGAGUAACACGUAUCCAACCUGCCGAUAACUCGGGGAUAGCCUUUCGAAAGAAAGAUUAAUAUCCGAUAGUAUAUUAAAACCGCAUGGUUUUACUAUUAAAGAAUUUCGGUUAUCGAUGGGGAUGCGUUCCAUUAGUUUGUUGGCGGGGUAACGGCCCACCAAGACUACGAUGGAUAGGGGUUCUGAGAGGAAGGUCCCCCACAUUGGAACUGAGACACGGUCCAAACUCCUACGGGAGGCAGCAGUGAGGAAUAUUGGUCAAUGGACGAGAGUCUGAACCAGCCAAGUAGCGUGAAGGAUGACUGCCCUAUGGGUUGUAAACUUCUUUUAUAUGGGAAUAAAGUUUUCCACGUGUGGGAUUUUGUAUGUACCAUAUGAAUAAGGAUCGGCUAACUCCGUGCCAGCAGCCGCGGUAAUACGGAGGAUCCGAGCGUUAUCCGGAUUUAUUGGGUUUAAAGGGAUCGUAGGUGGAUUGUUAAGUCAGUUGUGAAAGUUUGCGGCUCAACCGUAAAAUUGCAGUUGAAACUGGCAGUCUUGAGUACAGUAGAGGUGGGCGGAAUUCGUGGUGUAGCGGUGAAAUGCUUAGAUAUCACGAAGAACUCCGAUUGCGAAGGCAGCUCACUAGACUGCAACUGACACUGAUGCUCGAAAGUGUGGGUAUCAAACAGGAUUAGAUACCCUGGUAGUCCACACAGUAAACGAUGAAUACUCGCUGUUUGCGAUAUACAGUAAGCGGCCAAGCGAAAGCAUUAAGUAUUCCACCUGGGGAGUACGCCGGCAACGGUGAAACUCAAAGGAAUUGACGGGGGCCCGCACAAGCGGAGGAACAUGUGGUUUAAUUCGAUGAUACGCGAGGAACCUUACCCGGGCUUAAAUUGCAUUUGAAUAAUCUGGAAACAGGUUAGCCGCAAGGCAAAUGUGAAGGUGCUGCAUGGUUGUCGUCAGCUCGUGCCGUGAGGUGUCGGCUUAAGUGCCAUAACGAGCGCAACCCUUAUCUUUAGUUACUAACAGGUCAUGCUGAGGACUCUAGAGAGACUGCCGUCGUAAGAUGUGAGGAAGGUGGGGAUGACGUCAAAUCAGCACGGCCCUUACGUCCGGGGCUACACACGUGUUACAAUGGGGGGUACAGAAGGCAGCUACCUGGCGACAGGAUGCUAAUCCCAAAAACCUCUCUCAGUUCGGAUCGAAGUCUGCAACCCGACUUCGUGAAGCUGGAUUCGCUAGUAAUCGCGCAUCAGCCAUGGCGCGGUGAAUACGUUCCCGGGCCUUGUACACACCGCCCGUCAAGCCAUGAAAGCCGGGGGUACCUGAAGUACGUAACCGCAAGGAGCGUCCUAGGGUAAAA